RNAcentral lists this transfer RNA (71 nucleotides) under Chloroflexota bacterium. RNAcentral's name for it is "Chloroflexi bacterium (groundwater metagenome) tRNA-Gln". It matches the Rfam family "tRNA". Rfam says of the family: Transfer RNA (tRNA) molecules are approximately 80 nucleotides in length. The record is from RNAcentral. Lineage: Bacteria; Bacillati; Chloroflexota.
UGGGAAAUGGUGCAACGGUAGCACGACUGACUCUGGAUCAGUUAAUCCUGGUUCGAAUCCAGGUUUCCCAG